GCCAGGCGUGGUGGCGCAUGCCUGUGAUCCCAGCUACCUGGGAGGCUGAGGCAGAAGAACCACUUGAAUCCAGGAGGCGGAGGUUGCAGUGAGCCGAGAUCACACUAGUGUGAUCUCGGCUCACUGCAACCUCCGCCUCCUGGAUUCAAGUGGUUCUUCUGCCUC
RNAcentral lists this signal recognition particle RNA (165 nucleotides) under Gorilla gorilla gorilla (western lowland gorilla). RNAcentral's name for it is "Metazoan signal recognition particle RNA". It matches the Rfam family "Metazoan signal recognition particle RNA". From Rfam's summary of the family: The signal recognition particle (SRP) is a universally conserved ribonucleoprotein. Lineage: Eukaryota; Metazoa; Chordata; Mammalia; Primates; Hominidae. The record is from Rfam by way of RNAcentral.